GAUGAACGCUGGCGGCGUGCCUAAUACAUGCAAGUCGAGCGAACAGACGAGGAGCUUGCUCCUCUGACGUUAGCGGCGGACGGGUGAGUAACACGUGGAUAACCUACCUAUAAGACUGGGAUAACUUCGGGAAACCGGAGCUAAUACCGGAUAAUAUAUUGAACCGCAUGGUUCAAUAGUGAAAGACGGUUUUGCUGUCACUUAUAGAUGGAUCCGCGCCGCAUUAGCUAGUUGGUAAGGUAACAGCUUACCAAGGCAACGAUGCGUAGCCGACCUGAGAGGGUGAUCGGCCACACUGGAACUGAGACACGGUCCAGACUCCUACGGUAGGCAGCAGUAGGGAAUCUUCCGCAAUGGGCGAAAGCCUGACGGAGCAACGCCGCGUGAGUGAUGAAGGUCUUCGGAUCGUAAAACUCUGUUAUUAGGGAAGAACAAAUGUGUAAGUAACUAUGCACGUCUUGACGGUACCUAAUCAGAAAGCCACGGCUAACUACGUG
RNAcentral lists this ribosomal RNA (497 nucleotides) under uncultured bacterium. RNAcentral describes it as "partial 16S ribosomal RNA". It matches the Rfam family "Bacterial small subunit ribosomal RNA", at positions 28 to 507 of the family's 1533-position model. The record is from RNAcentral.